This 301-nucleotide ribosomal RNA is filed under the name uncultured bacterium. RNAcentral describes it as "partial 16S ribosomal RNA". It matches the Rfam family "Bacterial small subunit ribosomal RNA", at positions 509 to 808 of the family's 1533-position model. The record is from RNAcentral.
CAGCAGCCGCGGUAAUACAGAGGGUGCAAGCGUUAAUCGGAAUUACUGGGCGUAAAGCGCGCGUAGGUGGUUUGUUAAGUUGGAUGUGAAAUCCCCGGGCUUAACCUGGGAACUGCAUCCAAAACUGGCAAGCUAGAGUACGGUAGAGGGUGGUGGAAUUUCCUGUGUAGCGGUGAAAUGCGUAGAUAUAGGAAGGAACACCAGUGGCGAAGGCGACCACCUGGACUGAUACUGACACUGAGGUGCGAAAGCGUGGGGAGCAAACAGGAUUAGAUACCCGGGUGUCCCUGUCUCUUAUACA